CUGUGCUUUUAAUCAGCAUUGAUCACAUUUAUUGAGUCAACAAAAGUCACAAAGCCAAAGAUUAAAAAAAUUUUGUACUUCCCCUCACGCAUUCACGAUGUCCUCAAUCAGAACCGAUCCCCUCACGCAUGACUUAAUGAAAAAAUGUAGUUUUUGGAAUUAUUAAGACGUCUAUCAACACCGGACAGCGUACACGCCGCC
This 201-nucleotide long non-coding RNA is filed under the name Mytilus galloprovincialis (Mediterranean mussel). Lineage: Eukaryota; Metazoa; Mollusca; Bivalvia; Mytilida; Mytilidae. The record is from RNAcentral.